GAACGCUGGCGGCAUGCCUAACACAUGCAAGUCGAACGAGACCUUCGGGUCUAGUGGCGCCCGGGUGCGUAACGCGUGGGCACCUGCCCUUAGGUUCGGAAUAACUCCCCGAAAGGGGUGCUAAUACCGGAUAAUGUCUUCGGACCAAAGAUUUAUCGCCUUUGGAUGGGCCCGCGUUGGAUUAGCUAGUUGGUAGGGUAAAAGCCUACCAAGGCGACGAUCCAUAGCUGGUCUGAGAGGAUGAUCAGCCACACUGGGACUGAGACACGGCCCAGACUCCUACGGGAGGCAGCAGUGGGGAAUAUUGGACAAUGGGCGAAAGCCUGAUCCAGCAAUGCCGCGUGAGUGAUGAAGGCCUUAGGGUUGUAAAGCUCUUUUACCCGGGAUGAUAAUGACAGUACCGGGAGAAUAAGCUCCGGCUAACUCCGUG
RNAcentral lists this ribosomal RNA (430 nucleotides) under uncultured bacterium. Its description in RNAcentral is "partial 16S ribosomal RNA". It matches the Rfam family "Bacterial small subunit ribosomal RNA", at positions 31 to 507 of the family's 1533-position model. The record is from RNAcentral.